Molecule: non-coding RNA, 466 nt
Organism: Peromyscus maniculatus bairdii (prairie deer mouse)
Lineage: Eukaryota; Metazoa; Chordata; Mammalia; Rodentia; Cricetidae
Source: RefSeq, a predicted model, not a curated record
UUUGCAGCACAGUCAUCCCUGACCCAUCAUGGCACGAGUAUCUCCGUGUAUGGUGAAGGGUUAAAGUGAAAGGUGUCUCCUAAUCAGAUUCUUGAAGUCAUCUUUAGAAAGAUGAAAACUGUGCAGAGAAAUUGUUGUGGCCUCUUCAGCUUUCCCACUCCUUGGACGGCACCAUGUUUUUCAUAAGACCAAGGAGAAAGCAUGAUUUGCGGCCUUGAUUAGAGCAGGAGCUGAACAAGAUAUUACAAGGAUUUGAUUCUCUUCGAACGUGUCCAUUACACUCAUUCAACUGGAAAAUCGUUAGAAAAAAAUCUUCUAGAUCCAACACUGCUGUGAUCAGGACAGAAGCAAGUUUAAUUUGACUGCAUGGACACUUUCAAGUGAGCUUAACAGAGGAGGAUUUACUAAGGCUCCAGAUGAACUCAGGGAAAUCCAGAUUCAGAUCACUGCAAAGCCCUCCAACAGG